Molecule: ribosomal RNA, 145 nt
Filed under: uncultured eukaryote
Lineage: Eukaryota
Description: partial small subunit ribosomal RNA
Rfam family: Bacterial small subunit ribosomal RNA
Source: RNAcentral
GUACACACCGCCCGUCACACCAUGGGAGUUGGCUUUACCUGAAGACGGUGUGCUAACCCGCAAGGGAGGUAGCCGGCCACGGUAGGGUCAGCGACUGGGGCGAAGUCGUAACAAGGUAGCCGUAGGUGAACCUGCAGAAGGAUCA